GGGGGAGAAUGGGCAUCCCACCCCAGCACUUUCUAGGAAGAAGGGCAGCAUUUUGAAGGGCUGGAAGUAGAGGAAGGAGGUUGCGGGUAGAAGACUCCAUACUUUCUGUGACGCCUAUUCCUUAGGAAUCAAGGCUAUCUGUAAUCACAGGGCUAUUUGAAAAAGAGAAGAAAAGGUGUCUUGAAAUUCAACCAACAUGUUUCAAUUAUUUGCUCCUAAGAACAACAGAAGUUUCAACAUUCUGCCAACAGAGUAACUCCUGGAAGAUUGGCACAGAAGAAGGCACAAGGUAAAUACCCAUCUCUGUACACCCCGUGCUACCAUGUCAUGUGCUGCUCCAGGCAACUCCAAUGGAUUGGCCACCCUGGCCAGUGAUAACACAUAAAAAUUCCACUCAGUAUUGGGACCAAUAGAUAAUGAACACAGUCAGUGGAAUUCCUUCGCAGGCUUCUUCAAGAUAUUCUGCAAGACUGAUUUCCCUUCUUCUUGCCAAGAUUUUUUCCUCCUUCUUCUAGGAAGUCAGUGAUAAAAAUAUUUAAGCAGCUUUGUCUGCCUUAGAC
Molecule: long non-coding RNA, 560 nt
Organism: Homo sapiens (human)
Lineage: Eukaryota; Metazoa; Chordata; Mammalia; Primates; Hominidae
Gene: STARD13-AS
Product: STARD13 antisense RNA
Source: Ensembl